GCUGAGCGCUCCCUUCCUCCAGGGGCCGCCGAGGGGCCGCGCCGAGCGCAUGGAAUUUUCCACCGCCCAGCCAGCCUGCAGAGUCGCGUCUCAUUGGCGGAGCGGGGGCGCCUGUCCCCGCGUGGGUGCGGAGAUGAGAUUAGCCAGGGAGCCCUCCUCAGUGGGCUUUGCGAGGUUCUGAUUAAUCAGUUAAAACUCAGGCAACUGGAGGCCCAUGCAGCUCUGGCUGUAGCAUCAACCAGCGAUGGAACAUUAUACAGUCCUGAGGGUCCUGUGAUCUGUAAGAAGGAGAGACUCCGCGCUGUUGAUCUGACACCCUGCACCAGAGUGCCCCACGGCAAUCUGUCCUUCAGGCAGAAGGGAGGUACCAUGGAGACCACUGGAAACUCUGGAUGGCAGGAUUAGGUGUGGAAGAACUUCAAUACAGGAUCUCCAAAGGAAAGAACCACUCAACGCAUACCAGGGUGGACUGCCGCGGCCGGAGCCAGGCUGCAGAGGCCAGAGUUUAUCUCGGCUUCUACAUGGGGGACCUUGGGCCAAGGCUUUUGCCAACAGUCAGGGGUUUGUUUGUUUGGUUGGUUUUGCUUUUUGUCUUUUGUUUUUGUACUGGGGAUUGAACCCAGGAGCACCCGACCACUGAGCCACACCCCCAGCCUUUUUUAUAUUUUUAGAUAGGCUCUCACUGAGUUGCUUAGGACCUUGAUAAGUUGCUGAGGCUGGCUUUGAACUUGCCAUCCUCCUGCCUCAGCCUCCCAAGUCGCUGGGAUUACAGGCAUGCAUCAUUGUGCCCUGAAAGAGUCAGUUUCCUUCUCUAACAAAUGUGAUGCAUUGAAGUACCUACUGCAUAGGAUUGCUGUCAGGAUUGAGUUAACUCAUGCAUGUGCCAGAAACAGAGUAUGUACUCAACAAACUCUAGUUGGUGUUACUAAGGAAGACGUAAACAAUGGAAAGAAA
Molecule: long non-coding RNA, 954 nt
Organism: Marmota monax (woodchuck)
Lineage: Eukaryota; Metazoa; Chordata; Mammalia; Rodentia; Sciuridae
Exons: 2
Source: RefSeq, a predicted model, not a curated record